RNAcentral lists this long non-coding RNA (33958 nucleotides) under Triticum aestivum (bread wheat). RNAcentral's name for it is "long non-coding RNA (TAES_LNC014999)". Lineage: Eukaryota; Viridiplantae; Streptophyta; Magnoliopsida; Poales; Poaceae. The record is from RNAcentral.
GCUGGACCGGUGGAACUUUCAAUCCGGAUGGAACCUGUGGGCUGAUUGACAGGACCUGAGGUGUCAGUAGGUCUCUCUUCAGCAAUAAGAUCAUCGUCCUGCUGCGGUGGAUCGUUGGGUAUAUCCUCAGGAAUAGCCGCUUCAAGAUUGGGUGUCUUGCCUGGUUCAAGAAUGACAUCUUCUUCGGCCGCUUUGUCCUGGCGGUCCUUCUUGCUUGGCCUAGGUUUGGCCCUGAGAAGAAUAAAAAAAUCAAAUACAGCAUAUGUUCUAAGGCAAUGUACUGCAAACAUUACAAUAAGUAUAGCUUACCCAAGCACCGUUUUGAGCGGUGGGAGCUGAGUAGCCGAUGACUCGCCAGAAGAUGAGUGGGAAGUAACUUGGUAAUCGGAGUCAGACGGAUUAAGAGGUUGACGAAAGCAGCCCGCUUUAGGACAAGCACUGACAAGCAAAUUAGAGACCUCUGAAUGGCGUUUCCGAACCGGACUGUUCGGUAAACCGGCGGAGGUAACUACCUGGCCGCUGUGCCGGGUGGUACGACGAGCUUCGUGUUGUUGGGUCUUCAUAAGAAGUUUAGGAUCCAAAUAAGCAAGAGGAUGAGAAAAUUUAACUUUCCAGUUUGCCUGACGGAUUUUUUGUGAAGGCAAAGUUUCUGAAUCAGAAGAGAGAAUAAUUACCUCUGCAACAUCCGCGUGGCUGGCUUCGGCAUCAUCCUGACAAAUAUCAUCAUCAAUAAGACGCACGAAAAAUAAACCAAGUGAGUCAAGCUCUACCUCAAAGUCCGGAUUAUCCACCUCAUCGUCAGGGGCCGGAUUAGAAGAUGCAGUGGUUCUUUUCCUGUGGGCAGUCUUCUUCACAGCUUUAGUCUUUUGCCGAGUUGCUCUUUCCGGUUUGUCUGGUUUUUCUGGUUUCUCCCGCGGCAGUUUUUUGCUCCAAAACGGAUCAUUGCCCUGAUUAUGCAAAUACUGAUAUUAAAAACAAUGACCAGACAUAUCAAUAACAGAUUCAGCAAAGAGAAAAAUCAAAAUCUUACAGCUAGCGGUUUGUUGGUGGCACAGAAGGGAAGCAGGCCGGUUCUAGCGCAGACGGGUUCCGGUUCAUUCAGUAUCUUAUGCACAGCCUCUGUGAUUUCUUCAUCGGAGAGCUGGAGUUUUGAAUGUCGCAGUGGGUCAUCAACACUGUCAGUAUACUCGCACAUCAAACUGGAGCGCUGACUAAGGGGCAGUAUGCUCCAUGAUAUCCAACAGCGAGCGAGAUCAACCCCUGUUAAACCGUUGGCCAUAAAGGCUCUAAGCUUUGACAGCUGGGGAGCAUAUUUGCUUCUCUCCUGGGCAUUCAAUCUUUGAGGAAAAGGGUAUGUAUUGCUGAGCCGCUCCGGACGAAAGCCAGGCAAGGGAUUCUCACCAGUAGGGGAGGUGUCUUUGCAGUAGAACCAUGUCUGAUUCCACUCCUUGGGGUGACUGUGCAGCUUGGCGUGAGGGUAUGUGACCUCUUUCCUUUUCUGAAUCGCCAUGCCACCCAACUCCGUAUUAGAGCCAUCAGUAAACUCAGUACGGCGGUUUAGAUGGAAAAGGUCUCUGAACAAUUCCACUGUGGGCUCCUCUUGAAAGAACACCUUACAGAGCACUUGGAAGUGGCACAUAUUUGUAACAGAGUUGGGGCCAGUGUCUUGCGGAUGGAGUUGGAAAUCGGCUAAAACAUCCCGGUAAAAUUUAGAACCGGGCGGCUUAAAGCCCCGGGCUAAGUGAUCUACGAAAACAACAACCUCUCCUUCUCGAUGUGUGGGAGGGCAUUCUUUGCCAGGAGCCCUCCAAUGGAUGGUAUCUUUGCUGCCUAAAGCGCCAAUCAGGACUAAAUCGUCCAGUUGAUCCUCUGUGACGCGAGAAGGAACCCAAUUGCACUCAUAUACUUGCUUGGCCAUGAUGGAAUCUACAAGGUAGAAGAUCCCGGUUCAGAAAUGCAUUUGAUCAAGGUACGUUGGUAUGGGCACUGUUAAACUAGAGACAGAACUAUCUGAACCGGAGUUUCAUGAAGCAACCAACAUCUGGCGGUUCAACAAGGGGACUAAUGGCAUAUACCAGUUUGGAAAAUUUUCUAUAAGGUUAAACCGCCUGAUCUAAGUAUUGAAAAGCUGAGAUUGCGGAUGGACAAGUACGCACAAACAGGUUUCGCAAGAUUUCUUUACAGCAUUGGAUCUGAAGCAAGUUCAGAGAAGAGAUAAAUACUUAGAGGUUCAAAGGAGCAGUACCGAACCAAUGAGCAAAACGUUCAUAUAGACCCAUGGUUUGAGAUGCAUAAGUAAAGGCGAAGGUCAAACAACUAUCAUUGCACAGAAUAAAGAUUUGCGGAUUCAUCUAAAGAUCUAUUGUAUGAGCAAGAGGCAGACGAUGAACACUGAAGAACUGCGAAACCCUAGGCCAGAUCUGCAGGGGGAAAGAUAGAAGAUUUACCGGAGCUGAGGAAGAUGCGGAAGGUUGCCGCGAUGUUCUGGUGUGCUCAGGUUGAUGCAGCGGCCAAGGAUGAGGCAGAGGUCAACGGCGGCGGCGGAGCUCCGAGGCUGGCGACGCGAGGAAGAUGAAGAAGGCACGGAAGGAGAAAAGAAAUGACCCUUCGGUCCUAUUUAUAAGGCAAAAGAACAUGAGUCAGGCGCGACAAUCAAGGGGCCACAAAACGGAGUUGUUGCCUCGAUUUCCGCCGAUCUAUUAAACAAAGAAGCAUAAUGGAUAGCUUCGUUAUGACAGGUGACAUCACUCCGGUUUACAGCAAUCAGAGAAGAUGACAUCAUGGCGGUUUACCAAUUUAUAAGAAGAUGUUGAAGAUGAAGAUUUUAUUAAAGGAUUGACAUGAACCCGUUCAAAUCAAUUUGGGGCCUAAUGUUGGGGAUAUUACUACUGGGCGUAAACCGGCCUAUCUGGGCUGGGUUAACUUCGUCAGUAGUUAAGCCCAAGAAGACAGAGGAGGGCUCAAGGCCCAUGGUCGGCUCAAGGCCUGCAGCCGUAAACCGGCGUUAGUAGUUAACCUGUAUUGUAAGUUAGGAAUAAGAAGAGACCAAACCAGACACAUCUAUGAGCCGGUAUUGGGACUUCGUAAGCCGACGAGAGUCACCCGUGUAUAUAAGGGGACGACCCGGCGGCGGUUCAAGGACAACAGACAACAACUCGAGACAUAGGUGAAACUUGUUUGCUCCCUAGUCAUCGAAACCCCAUCAAUUCCAUCACAACUAGACGUAGGCUUUUACCUUCAUCGAAGGGGUCGAACUAGUAUAAACUCUCUUGCGUCCUUGUGUCCGCUUUAACCCCUUCAAGCUAACCCGUCGCGAUGGCUCCACGACUAAGUCCUUUCUCUAGGACAUCUGCCGUGACAAAACCACGACACUAUGGUUAGGUUUACCUUAAUACUUUUGUUGUAGUUGCGGAUGCUUGUAAUAGAGGUUAUCAUAAGUGGGAUGCUUGUUCAAGUAAGAAUAGCACCCAAGCACCGGUCCACCCACAUAUCAAAUUAUCAAAGUAUCGAACGUGAAUCAUAUGAACGUGAUGAAAACUAGCUUGACGAUAUUCCCAUGUGUCCUCGGGAGCGCUUUUCCUAUUAUAAGAGUUUGUUCCGGCUUGUCCUUUGCUAUAAAAGGAUUGGGCCACCUUGCUGCACCUUAUUUACUUUUGUUACUUGUUGCUCGUUACAAUUUACCUUAUUACAAAACUAUCUGUUACCACUUAUUUCAGUACUUGCAGAGAAUACCUUGCUGAAAACCGCUUAUCAUUUCCUUCUGCUCCUCGUUGGGUUCGACACUCUUACUUAUCGAAAGGACUACGAUAGAUCCCCUAUACUUGUGGGUCAUCACAUCGCAGACACAUAGACACGUGAAGUGUAUCACAUGAGGAUACAUCAAAUACAAGCAGUGAAUCAACGGUAGAAGUGAAAGAGCCACAGUUUUAAAGUGACUAGAGGCACGGGCGUGUACAAGCACGGGCACGACGAGUCACAGCCACCGCAUCCCCUCACGGACAGGCAUCUGGCACCACAGGCACGUAGAGUCACAGCCGGCGUGUCUCCUGAGACAAGCGAAUGCAGGUACAGGACGCACAGAACUGCAGCGUAUACAGGCACGGAAUUGCGACUUUUGUCGCACAGGUACGGCUUUCGAAUUGGCAUUCUCGAGGCACGGGUACAAACCACCUGAACGCACAAAAGAGUGGUGGCAGAGGCACGAUUGUGUACUCUGAAGAGAAACUGCCGUGUGACACCACCACAUAGAGACAUUGCGUGUGUCACGUGAGGUACAUGAAUAGCGGAAAAGAAGCCAUGGAAGUGCAGCCUCCACAGACACGGAUGCGGGCUUCUAGAGGCACGGUCCCGAAGGACACAAAGACUGGAAAAUGAAAAUUGUUGCCUCGUACGUUACCAGACGUGUGUCUCUUGUGCGAAUGUGUAAAACACAACAAUACAAACACAAACAAACAGCGGUGAGUAUAAGCCAAACAAAAAACACGCUUCUCCCAAACAAUACAUAUGCGUCCCCUCAUGGACGGGCGUCUGGCACUAGAGGCACGUAGAGUCACAGCCAGCAUGAUGCCUGAGACACGCAAAUGCACGUACAGGAGACACCGAAUUACAGCGUAUACAGGCACGGAAUUGCGGCUUCUCAUCGUUAUCGAAGCACGGGUACAAACAACCUGGACGCACAAAAGAGUGGUGGCAAAGGCACGGAUGUGUAGUGUCAAGAGGAACUGUCGUGUGAAACCAGCACGUUACAGACAUGGUGUGUCUCACGGAUGUACAUGCAUAGAAGGAAAGAAGCCAUAGAAGUGAAGCCUAAACAUACACGGAUGAACGGAUUCUCGAGGCACGGUCCUAAAGCACACAAAACACGAAACUAAAAUGUUGCCUCGUACGUUAGCAGACGUGCCUCUCUUGUGCGAACGUGUAAAAGACAACAAUAUAAACACAAUCAAACGGCACUGAAUAAAAGUCAAACACAAAACGCGCUUUUCCCAAACAAUACAUAUGCGCCACUUCAACAGGUUCUCUAAAUAUACAUGAACUCGCGCAAACAUCAACAAUGAACUUGUAACAUGAAAAAACAUAAGAAAUUAUAUUCACAUAACAUGAGACGGUACUCCAUAGGAUUGAACUAAAAGUACUCAUUAAUUAUACAAAAAAAGAAAUGAAAGCCUUCCAGGAAUCCAUUCUGCUCAGACCACCAGGAUGAUUCUACUCAACUGGAGUUCUGCUCAAAACCAUCAACGGCGUCCGGGGUCGGGAAGACAACGAGGAUGCAUCAUGUCCUUCAUAGACAGAACUCGGCGGUAGAGCUCAUAGCUGACAUACCCAUCCUAAAAUAAAAGGCGAAUGAGAAUGAACAUAUACGUUAAGGGGAAAAAGUACUAUUGUUGCAAUAAAACAAAUAUAUGAAGACGAAAUUUUCACUUAGAAUUGCCGCAUAUUUCAGGUGUUCAAGGGAAAGCGGCUUCCAUUCCCAGUAGUCAUGCAGACAUUGUGGAAAAGACGACUUCAUACUCAAGUAAGAUUUGUUUAUGACGGCUCCUGCCAAAUCUGCCAUUGAAUCCCUUAGAUUGCCUCCUUUGAUCAUGAGCUCCUCUUGAAGGUCGAUGUGACACUCUCUUGGGAUUUUGAGGUAACUGUUUGCGAGAACAUCCCUAUCGUUCCUGACGUCGACACUAGCGAAAAUUAUACCUUUGUUCUGAAGGAAAUCCUUCAGAGCAACGCACUCCGUCCUGGCCUUGCACAAGUGAUAAACAAGAACAUGCUUGCGCAUCGCUAGUUGCAUAACGGCAACUUUUCUACUACGAUCAAAAUAAUCCUCUCGUGUGUACUCGAGAUCAAGACCAACAUACUUGUACCUGUCCUCACGCAGCCAUUCCUCAUAGAAAGUAAGAAUCUCCUCCACCUUGUGGGGCUCAUUAGUGUACAACACAUCGAGCUUGGUAUUACCAUCAGCAUCUAUAGAGAGACGCUCAGUAGUGUUCCUAAAGUCGUCCAUGGAACCAAGGCUGAGACGACAAUGGAGUUUGACUAUGCUUCUCGUAUGAGUCGAGGAUGACGGGAGCUACCUGCACUUCUCUGGAGGGAAUAAGACGCGAUAACCUCCAGGAAUAGACCACUACUUAACCUUUGGGGAGAGACAACUCAGUUACCAUGCGCCCAUUUAAUUGCUAAUUAAACGGUGAAUGGACGAUUGUGCUUCUGCAGCUCGUGAAACAAUGCACUUCAAAAGUCAUGACUGCCAUGCUGUAAUCGAGGAGCACCUAGAUUGACUCUAGCACGGUACUGGCACAAUGAAUACUAACAAUAAAUAGCCAUCCCAUCGGUCACCAGCACAUCUUUUGACCGAGAGAACAAUGAGAGGAAGCAAAUAAGAUGACCCUGUCGUACAAAUACUACACGGGGACUGAACAAAAAUAGAAGCACGGUUCGGCCAGCACAAAAGCCACACGCGUGCCUCCACUUUACUUUAAAGACAAACCUCAGUGAUAUCAACGGAACUGCAUCUCUAUGUCUGCAUACCACCGAAAACAUUGCCAAAACAAAAACACGUCCAUGCUUCUCACAUACAAAUAACUGUGGGCUAUCAUAGAUAUUCCCGCCUGAACCCAACGUACAUAAAAACAGUGGCUCCCUGGGUCAACGACUGCUUGAAAAAAAUUUGCAAUAACAGAGUCAUGGACCGUGACUCCAUUCCAGAUACAAAAGUGCAUCUCAUUAGGAACCAUCAUGCCUCCCCUCAAUUUGCCUCCCCCGACGUAUCGACCAUGCCUCUCCUGCUACAACGACUGUGCAUCUAAUAACAUCAUCACCGUUCCUCUCCUAAAGACACACCCAACUCUAUAUUAUUAAACAUGUGAUUAAAAAAAUUAAAACACAGAAGCACGAGUAUGCUUUUUAGCAUGUAUAACGGCGCCUCGCAAAAAGUAUGUGAGGUAGGAUAGGCACGUAAAAGACUCCGCUCGGACGUAGCACAGCUGGACAACUAUAAUGGGAGGCAGUUGGACGAGUCAAACAUCUCGUGUCCCCAUAACACCUCGGAAUACACGCACACCAUCUACAACCAGCAUUCAUUCCAUUUCGCAGAAUAAAAAAUAAAACAAGAAGCACUCAUUACUACUCUCGCUCUUUCCCGUCUCCUUUAUGUUUCAAUAAGCUCUGACUCCCUCAGCCACAACACAACUCAUUUGCCUUCUCCGUCGCCUGCUUCUAGGGUUCGUGCUUCUUCUCCGUCUCCUGCUUCUAGGGUUCGUGCUUCUAACUCGCACACAAUCGAUUAAUUUCUAAGCCAUACUUCUCUCGUAGAUUGCUGGCCGUGGGUGCUUUCCCUAAGCUUCCCAUCACAAGCCAUCUGCCUUAUCCGUUCGCCUACUUCUAAGGUUCGUGCUUCUUCCCCACACACAGUCUCAUUUCAAACAAGUUAUUGUAGAGUUUUUAUUGGGUCUCUUGAUUAACUUCCAAGCCUUGCUUCUCUCAUAGAUUUUGCUAGCCGUGUGCGCUUGCCCUAAGCUUCCCCUACCCAAAUCUCCAUUCGUCAACCCUCGUUCUUCUUCUGUCACAAGUAAAAAGCAUAUGCGUAAGCAGCAUGCUCCGAUCCGUAUUUACGUUUUACAUUUAGGUUUUUCAUUUGAUAGUUAUUGAAGCAUCAGAUCCGGUACAACAACUUCAUUCUCUAACGAAAUAUAAAAACCAUUUGAAAAUCUAAACAAGUGUUAUAAACUCUGUAAUACUGAUUUUCUCGAAGGAGUAGAUGAGAAGAUUUAUGGUAAAUUUGUAGUUGGUGCCUGCCUUCAAUAUGGCUAACAUAUUUGAAGCUAGCCAUUGUCUACCUUCCACGUUGAAGCUUGUUUUUAAAUUGUUAUGAUAUUCUUGUUUUCUUAACAUAGUUUUUCUGAAAUAUUUAGGUAUGAUUUGCCCUGCCUGCUGCCAACCAGGCGGCCCUUGCGAACCACACCAUGAAGUUAUCCAGGAGUUUGAGGUUAUUCUUGAUGAAAAUUGCUGGAGCCGCAUGGUUAGUAAGCAUCACUAACAAAUUAGUUGCUUACAACACAGUAAAAAUCGUCACUGUCACUCAUACCCCCUUGCACCUACACUAGGUCCCCCUGCUGCCACUUCUUCGCACCUGCCUUGUGUUUUCAUUUUCCAUUAGUUUGCUUGCUUAUGCCCUGAUUAAUAUAGUCCAUUAAUUUAUAAUACAAUUAUGUUGUUAUCUGUAAUUCUUAUCAAAAAUUCAUAUCCAAUUUAAGAAAACUUUUAACAUUAAUAGUACGCAAGUUCAAAUUUAUACUUACAGGUUGUUAUUUGCACUAUUUUUUCCAGUAUGUACCUUGUAAUGUCAAAGCUUUUCUCGCUAAAUACAUUGAAGAGGAGAAGAAAGAAGCAAGAAAAUUGCGUAAACAGCAGGUAGAGCCAGCCCUUCUUACACAUGAAGGAAGGUCUUACAAUGCUUUGUUUAAGUAUAGGGCGAACUACACAAAGUUCUGCGGUGGUGAGUGAAACAUCUUUGCGGCUGAUUAUGAACUUCGUGCUGGAGACCGCAUAGAAUUUGAACUACCAGACGAGGGUCUCAAUCUCGAAAUACAAACAUAUCAAGAUAACAAAAGGCUGCUUCCAUUACCCCACGUUGGUAGGUAUUUAAUAUUACAAACAUUACAAACUUAUCUUCUUUCGCUGUAAUUUUAUAUGCAUGAAUCGAACUGAAUAAUAUUAACCCCACGUUGGAUAUAAGUUUAUCUAACUUUAAAAGCUUUUUCUUUUUCUAGCUCUCGAUGAUCUUUCUUCUGACGAUUUCGACCAUGUUCACUGUUGUGUCUACUCUAAGGAUAUUGAGCUUACCUACGACCAGACACGACUCUUUCUACAACGCCUUUUCGGAGAUACUUUCAUCCGUUGCCGUCCAUUUGUCCAUGCCCUAACUCACACUAACACCAAAGACUACGUCAUGGUUGGUUACAACUGUCCUUGUUAAAAUACCAAACGUAUUUUGCUCAUAUGUAAUAUAAACAAUACUGACGUAAUAUUGCUUAUAUGUAAAAUUAUAAAGAACCUAUUUAUUCAAACCUAAAACAACAAAACUUCCGUUGUUCUCUUAAUAUGUUGUUUUGUCUGUUUACAAACCAAACCUGAACAUGCCAGGAACUAUAUUACUUCCAAUAUGGAAUUUCUUAAUGUUUGUGCACUCACCAUAUUCAGACAUUCUUUUAUUUAUUGUCCAAGUGACAAAUCAAUGGUUUUAAUUUCUAUUUAAUUUUGAUUUUCUUCUAGAAAAUUCCAAGGAGCGUUGUCUCAACACUGAAGAGAUGGGUGGACAUGCCAACCAAUGGCAGGGUAACCCUUGAAGCUCCUGAUGAACAUACACAUGUCAUCACUCCUUCAUCGUACUACAUCUCCAAAAACGACGGCAGGAUGGUAAUACAAAAGUCUUCUUUCAGAGACUUCAUAUCAGUUGCAUCCUUCGUUGAAAAGAACGUUGUUCUAAUCACUUUCAAAGAGCGAAAUGACCAUUCUGUGUCCAUCAUCAUUCAACGCAUUAUGUAGAUUCCGUCGGAACCAGCACCUAAAAUGGAAGCAAACAGUGUAUCUCCUAGAAUGUUCAACGCUCGUUUCAUCAUGAUGCCUCCAGGAGCAAAACACUGAUUACUAUAAGUUUGCUAGAUAGGAUGGUAGAUUAAUUUAACUAUUAUGGACCAUGUGCAUGCUUGAACUAUCGGAAUAAUCUUUUGCAACUUAUGAAGCUCUUACAGACACUCAACUUGUUGUUUCAACCAUCGGAAUGAUCCUUUAAAACAAAUGUUGUUUGAACCAUCGAAAUGAUUCAUUCGAAAAAAUGUAGUUCUUAUCCUUUGAAAAGUUCACAAUUCAAAAAACCAAAAAACAAAAAGAUUCAUUUUCAAAAAUGAAACGAAACAAGAAUCAGUUUGUGAUUCAAAACCUCUAGCAAUACGAUGUUAUCAAACUUAUUCAAACCAUCUAGUGAAACAUAUCUCAAUUAAAAACCAAACAGGACUCCAUUUUCAAGUCCAAACUAUAUCUAGUUCAACUUUUCCUAAACACACACUUAUGCACCGAAUAACAUAAAAACCGUGCCUCCAUAACCAAGGAAGAUUAUUAAUUGAAAAAACGUUUCACAACAAAGGCACGACCAUGCAUCUGCCGAAUGUUCUAACGUUUACACGACUACUUUCACAGCCAAAGAUGCAUCACGCAGGCAGCAUGCAACGAAUAAAAAAAUUCAAUGAACAAGACAAGUGAAAAUCUUAAAAAAAAUAGAUAAAACAAACCCCUGUUUCCGAAAUUCUACGCCUGGAACCGCCGCGUGACUAGCAACUGCUCUUUGGCGGUUUCCUUUUUUGCACGACAAAACAACCCUUUCACUUUUCCAACUCCAUUUCAUCCUCUUCCUCGAAAGUUUCUCGUCGGCCGCAGUUCAGCACCGCACACCUCCAGCCAUGGACGGCGGGAAACUAACAACAUUCACCGAACACAUCACUACCCACGGUACAACCGUGCUCGAGGUGGUGUACACCAACGACCCAAGGACCAUGGAGCGGAUCAUCAACGAGUACGAGGAAUGGCUAAAGGAGGAGAGGAACAAGUUCGUCAGCCUCGACCUCGAGUACACACGUAAGAGUAGUUACAUACGACAAGGGAUCUCCGUCGUCCAACUUUCUAUGCGCGAGCAUGUCCUUGUGUGCCACUACUGCGGGUCCGAGCGCUCCCAGGCGUUAGUUGACUUCCUGCAACGGAAAGCGGUAACUUUCACUAGCGUCGACACCAGGAACGACAAGACCAUGCUUGCCCGUGCAUGCAUCAGAAUUCCAGAUGAGCACCACAUCGACAUCCAGAGGCUAUUCUGCAUCAAGGGUGGUGGAGAAAGGGACUCCAUGGGUGACCUUGCAGCGGCCAUCAUCGACCUCUCAUACAAGAACAUGAAGAAAUCAUUCUCAAAGGAGAAGCACCAGUUCUGGGAGUGGAAGCCACUUUCCCCGAUACACCUUGAGUACGUGGCAAAGGACGGGUAUGUUAGCUACGAGUUGUACCGUAGAAUCCUAAUCAUCAAGAACGGGCUAUGUCACCCCCACCAACAACCAAUGAAAGAAAGACUCCGCCCACGUAAGAGCAAUGACAAGGGAUCUUCCAGCGGCUGGAAGCGCCGGAAGGGAAACAGUGGUUGGUAAAUUGCGAGAAAAUGGAUGUCUACAUUAAACUAGUAGGAACUACUAUUAUCAUAAUUUGGAUUGUAUGAACCUAUGUUGUAAAUAUGUUUGUUGUUGCUCAAAGAUGUUGUGUGUAUUGUAUUACUAUUUUACGUUUGAACUUUGAACACAGUGGUGUGCUCAUGUACUAAUUUGGAUUGUAUGAACCUAUGUUGUAAAUAUGUUUGUUGUUGCUCAAAGAUGUUGUGUGUAUUAUAUUACUAUUUUACGUUUGAACUUUGAACACAGUGGUGUGCUCAUUUACUAAUUUGGAUUGUAUGAACCUAUGUUGUAAAUAUGUUUGUUGUUGCUCCAAGAUGUUGUGUGUAUUGUAUUACUAUUUUAUGUUUGAACUUUGAACAUAGUGGUGUGCUCAUGUACAAAUGCAUACUACGUUUUCCAUGUCUAAACGCAAUUAGUAAGUUAUGUCUAAAUGCAAUUAGUAAGUUAUGUCUCAGUACUGAGCAAGCAUGUAUUGUAUCCAUGAUUAUAGAACGAGAGAUAUCUCGCGCGAUAUUGUAUUAUAAUUUUCAUACUCAACCUUUACAAGAUGCGUCGUGCAUUCACAAGAAUAUGUGAUGAUAUCAUUGUAAACUUUCAGUAUAAUGCUUAUUAAACAUUGGCGUGAGCAAUUCAUAAAUAUUGCAGAAGAUCAUUCGGUACACAGUCACAAGCGACGAGAACUUUGUUACCUUAACCACAUUGAAAAAAAAAUCCUUGCCUCCAUUUCACAUCAAACACCGCUCCGUCCAUUCAGAACAUCCUUGCUAUUGUACACAGCUUCCUCUUCGUACACCAGUUCUGCACGAUGCCACGAAACUACACUACUGUGUGCAACUGACCUAUUUACAAGCGUGACUCACUAAGUGUCUACUCAAUCCAUGCCUGUGGUGCCACGCACCCGUGACCCUAGAGACUACACACCUAUGCAUCAUUAACCGAGCUCCUCUAACCAGAUAUUCGGACCGAUGCCUCUACUGUCGUACAUCCGUGCCUCUAGAAUCUUGACACCAGCAAGUGGGUUCAAAACCAUGCCUCCAGACAAUCGUGCUUGUACUAACUACACUUUCGUGCCUCUGUUUGCUUGAUCAACGUGCCUCACUUGAAACCCAUAGUAACUCUACGUGCUCCGCACGCGUGAUCGCCAAUGCAACUUUGGUGCUGCACAGACGCGUCUCUCAGUAUACCCGUACCUCCAUAACCGUGCUUCUACUGACUAUAAUUCCAUGCCUCCGUUUUGCUCAAUCCACGUGCCUCACAUAAAACCAACACUAACUCUACGUCCUACACACACACGUGCCUCUCGCAUGAAACCCAUAGUAUCUCGCCCGUACAACUUUGGCACUACACACACGUAGCUCUCAGUAUACCCGUGCCUCCUCAUGACCAUGCCUGCACUGACUUCAAUUCCGUGCCUUCAUUUGCUUAAUCCACGUGCCUCACAUAAAAGAGAUACACAGUCGUGCCUCAGAGUAAACAACACACGUGCCUCUACUGUAUUGAUAACUAUGAUCCCAAUUAAAUAGCAUCCGUUCAAAAGAACAUCUUUAAAAGAGAUGCACAGCCAUACCUCUUCUACAAACAUACAACAGCAAUGAACACUUAGGUUCUUAGGUUCAUAUCGUUUCAUAUAUCAAGACAACAUUAACCCGUGGCAUAGAUUUUUAAACAAAAUCCAUUUAUGUUCAAAGGCUAUAACUAAUAUCACUGCGGCAGAAGAUUGAAGAUAACAACAAGCCUCCCAUCACGCUAUUUGAAAGUUAUCAGCACUAAGUUGUUUACUUCAAUAGACGAUGCCUGGAGAAAAUCACUAAAACCUUCCUAUUUGAACACCAUUCUACUACCCAAGCCAAUGAAGUAGGAGCAAGGAGUGCUCACAUAUAUAUCAUCAUCACCAGAUUCCAAAGUAACUUCAAGGGUUAAAACGCUAGUCCUAGGAAAAGUCACAGACUCCUUCAAACUCCUCACAACAAUACCAGGAAUAACCUGACAAAAAACAUCAAGCUAUCAGAAAUAAAACAAAAAUUAAAAACUAUAAAUAGAAGAGAUAAUAAAAAUAAAUAAAUAAACAGAAACAAAGAAAAAACAGUGGAAAAAAUCUGACCAUAUGAUGACCAUUAACAUUCAUGGAAUCAAUCUUGUGAACAAAAGGAUAACACGGUAUGUAGGCAUCAUCAAAGAGUUGACACCUCAUGAAAUACAUCUGCUGAUAAUUAAGAAAAACACCAUAGGUGUAAUAACAACUCCCAACAAGUUCCAUCUCGGAGUCGCUCAAACCAUCAAGAGCUACAAAAUAUAAUUACACAGGCUCAAGGGAACAGAAAAAUCAUCAUGUGCAAUAAAACAAGCUAAAAACUUCCUUAAAAUAAACCUUACCAACAGAAGGUAAAGGAGACAACGCAUCUCCACGACCAACACGAUAAAAAUCAAUACCAAUCCAUGUUCCAUAGUGUUCAAGCUUAAUGGUCAUUAUAUCACGAGGACGAACACCAUAAUCACUGACCAAUCAUUCCCAGGAAGGACCAUGGAAUUUACUCCUCAAUCGACCAUGACUAAACAGAACACCAUACAAAUAACCCUCAUUGCACUGAAAAGCAAGAUCAGUAUCUUCGUCACCCCUCCUUAUGGCUAAAGCCCUACACUCCUCGAUGUAACGAGCAAGAUGAGCUCUAACACUGCAUGGAACAUACUGCACAACAAAUCAAAACAAGGAUCAUAAUCAAAACCUAAACAACAUGAGCAGCACCAAAAGAAAUAAACGUGUGUGCCAAAAAUUGAACAAUUAUAAAAUGAUAUUCUUACAACAUGCCUCCAACAACGCCGAUCCAGGACCACACUGAACCCAUCUACAGAAGAAUCAACAGAAGAAACGGGCCACCAGGCAUACGGCAAAAAGGACAAGCCAUAACCGCAAGGAACACAUGAUUAUCAAGAACUAAUCACACAAAACCUAGUUGAAACUUGACAUCUGAUAGUGUUGGUAGUCCCCACCCGUAACUACCCCAUAAAUCUCCAUAUCCCGGAAAUAUAAUGGGAACAAAAAGAGAAACAUCAAAGGGAAACAGGAAACCCACGAAGGCAACCGGUAGGGAACGGCGAUCACGCGAACGGGGAAGCGCGGUCGACGCUAAAGAAGGACCGCCGUAAAAGCAGGCAACAAGCGCGGCGGCCGGGACAGGGGCCGCUGUAACCACACGACAAGAGCGGCGGCCGCGACGGACAAAGAUGAUGGCAAAGAAAGAACAGUGCUCCACGACGGUUCGCCCACACCAGAAAGAAAACAGAUCAAAAGGUUUUACAAAACAUUAAAAAUAUAAGGACUAAAGUAAAAAAAGGAAAACCUGAAAAGGGAAACCAGAAACCGGAAAACACGGGAGACGCCGUGCGUGCAACAAGUGUCGCGCGCGGAGCGCCUCGGAAAAGUCUCCCGACCGCUCCGCGCGUGACACUUGGCGCGUCGGGAGCGCUCCCCGACUAAUCGUUGCGAGGAGCGCUCCUCAAUUAGUGAUUUUGUAAGAAGAGGACCACGCUUGCUGGGUGACACCCUAUCAUGGCCGUAUGUUGCUGCAAUAUGCGAAAAGACAAAACAAUAGGUAAAGGACGUGAUAAUGGAGGUACUUUUGCGAAACGAGGGCGAAAUGCAAAAACUGCCACCUUUUGUUUUUUCGGGCGAAAAUCUUUGAAUGCAACGCUAUUUCUUUUACAGAAUGCAUUGAUCACCUGCUUAACCCAGAUUAUGAUAGCUUGGGCCUGCCUGUCAGGCUGAUGUGGCAAAAAAAUACCACUCCGGCACAUUGACUUGGUCUUCCUCAUAAUCUAGGUCAAGUGAGCUAUCAAUGCAGUCAGUAAAAAAAUUGUGUUUGCUUUUGGUGGGUUUUGUAAAAAAAGGCGGUUUUCUGUUAAUGACGACACAAUUGUGACAUGUUUGGAAGGGAGGAAAGUGACCUUGAUCUCUAGUAAUAUAGCCAGAGUUUGGAAGGAUCCUAUUAGAGGUGCUGCCCCCUUGAGAGAUAAAUUCCCAACCUUAUUUCACAUAUGCAACUAUCAGGAGAUUACUGUUGCUGAAUUUAAAAACUUUGGGGGUGGUGACAUGUUCAGAAGAAAUUUACACCCUCCCCUCACGGAUCAGUGGAAGGAUCUGGUUGAGGUGGUUACCUCUUGGCAGUUAUCUAACGAGACUGGUCAGAUUAGUUGGGCGUUGGGUAAAAAAGGUAAAUUCUCGACCAAAUCGGUCUAUACACACUUGGAAAAGCAUCUGGCUGGAUGUGACUAUAGAUGGAUCUGGAAAGCUAAAAUCCCCCUUAAAAUCCAAAUUUUUCUUUGGCAAGUAUUCCAAGACGUGGUUCUGACUAGAGAAGUCAUGAGAAAGCGCAACUGGGCAGGCAAUCCUAAAUGCUCUUUUUGUGAGAAUGUGGAGACCUCACAGCAUCUUUUCUUUACGUGCCAUGUGGCUCGGGUGGUAUGGAGGAUGGUUGGAUGUGUGCUGGGCACAUCUUUAUGUCCAAAUAACAUUUGGCAGUACUAUUCCUGGUGUUAUAUUUUCCUUCCUGAUGGAACCAAACUUUACACCUCUGGUUUGGCGGCAAUCUGUUGGGCGAUUUGGAACAAUCGUAACCGAGCUACGUUUGAACAUAAAGAUCUCAAAAGCCCUUUUAAUGUGGUGUAUGCUGCUUGUGGUUUUUUGAUGUACUGGGCAGGUUUGAUGGCUGGCGAUGAUCGGGAGACCAUGGAGCGUGGAGCCAAGAUGCUCAGGUCCAGUGCAUCGAUGAUGAUGAGAAUCUGCGCGGCUCCAACCAACUCAGCUUCAAACUGAUCCCUUCUGCAUCUCUUCGGAGCUUCGAGUUCUCAUCUGUCAAGGAUAGGCUGCCUUUCACUCCUGCGCGAGUGCUCUGAUUGCUCUUUUGUGAGCCUGUAAGCUUGGUGAAGUUAGACUAUCUUGGGUUUCUUUUGGGGACUCGUUGGUGCUUAGAUCCUUUAGGUUGCGUGAUCACAGGUGUUGCUGGGUUUUCGCCCCGCAAUGAGCUGCUCGAUGACGAGUGCUCAUGGUGUGUUUUCCAGUGGUGCUUUGAACUCGCCUCCCCUUUCUAGUUUCCUUACGAUGUAGUUGGUACUUGGGUCUGUGGUUGUCUGAACUAUGUAUUUCCGUUAUGCUUUUAAUGGAAAAGGGUUGAGAUCCGGUUCAAAAAAAUAUAUCAAUCAGGCAUUGUUGUGGAAAGGGUGCCGCAAAUAGAUACUACUCGACGGAGAGAUAUGCCGACGGCGCUCCCAACGGCUCCUGUACGGACAGGCGUUGCGAGCGUCUCUGGCGAUGGUGGCGUCGGUGGCGGUGUCUCGGCGCAGGGCGGCGGUGCUCAGGCCCCGGCGGAGGACCCGGCGGCGGGCUGGGCGGCGGCUCGCGCCCCAGUCCCCAGGCGGACGGCUGCGCCCCCCCUGGGCGCCGCCGGGUGGUCGGGAAGCCGCUUUUGGGCGUUGGCGGAGGACGAUUCAGACAGCGACGAGGAGGCGGAGUUAGGCGACGCGGUGGCGCUGGGGGCAGGUGGCCGUCCGGCCUGCUCCCUUGGCGACUUCGUGGCGCGGGCAGAGGAGCUCGGGGGCUCCCUCAAGGCCGGGCGCCGUCCUGCGUUUGCGCCCGGGGGCCGUGGCCCGCGGCGGGUCGUUGCGGCUGCGCCCAGAGCGGCUCGCUCGGUGUGGCGCCGCGAGGGUCGUGACAACCUUGCUGCGCCAGACGCGGGGCUGCUCCUGCAGCUCGCAGCAGACCAGCUGAGCCCGGCGCCGGCGCCCCCCAUGGUGGCGCCGGCGGCGCGGAUGACGCUGGGCGUGGUCAACCCUAGGGCUGGGGCGGACCAGCCAGCGGUCCAGUCGGGCCAGCCCACACGGGUGGUGGACGGCCCAAAUGCGGUGGUGGCGCGGGCUGGGGCCCAGUCCCCUGACGCGCACGUGGAGCAGGGAAACGUUCCUGCCCCCAGGACCCAGCCCGACCCACAGGGGGCGAUCCAGCCCAACCAGCCCAGCCCAGAGAGGGCACAUAAAUGGCUCUGGAUCCCCCGCGGAACCCUAAAUCCCUCGCUAGGUUUUCCAGCCACCGCUGCGGAGGUGCGGCGCUUCGGUCGUCUCGCCCGAUUCCUCUCAUCCACUCCACUCCCCUCCCCACUGCGGCGCACCUUUGCUGAAGUAGUGGCGAUGGGCUCCAAGCAAGAUCGCCGGGGGGAAAAGCCUCCCAUGGAGCAGCCGCGGGACCACAACCGUGGUCGCGCCGCCGACGAGGGGGGCUGGGGACCACCGCCUGCGUCGUGUCUCAAGGAACAGGAAAGGAAGGCAAAGAAGAAGGCGGAGCACAAGCAGCGCGGCCUCGAGCUCAAGCGCAAGGGGAUGCAACCAGCGCCGGGCGGCGACCGGGGCGGUGACUCCCACGCGAAGAAGAAAUCCAAGCUUGCGGGGGCGGCGGCCUCCAAGCUGCCCCUCCCGCCCAGAGCUGAGGUGCCGGGCUCAUCCAAGGGCACGGAGGCGGAGCCAAUCCCGAUCGAGGAGGCUGACGGACCUGAAUGCUCCCGAUGCGGGCGCACGGGCCAUUUUCAGAGCUUCUGCACCUUCAAGCCUCUGUGCGUGGUGUGCACCAAGGAGGGGCACACGUCUGCGCAGUGCUCGACCUGGGGCAAGCCUCUGCUCCUCCAAACCAUGGGACACGCCAUCUCCAGCGAGGGUUUCUUCUGCCUCCAGUACCCGGAUGAUUCGCGGGAGGAGCCGCAGAUCCAGCUGGGGGCCAACGCGGCUGUGCUCUCCAUGCCUUCUGGCGUGCUCACCCAAGAGAUUCUACAAGUGGAGCUGCCACACCUCUUCGAGGGCGAAUGGGACUGGCAGAUCUCUGCAAUGGAGGGAGGGGCAUUCUCGAUGGUCUUCCCAGAUCCGGUGAUGCUCCGGAUGGCAACCAGGAGCGGCAAGCUGUUCCUCUCCCUCAACAACCUCAUGGUGGACAUCCGCGACGCGGUCCUCGAAGCUCCCAAAGGAAUGGCGAUGCCAGAGGUGUGGGUCAAGCUGGGAGGAAUCCCUCCCAAGCACCGGCGUUCCGACCUGCUCUUGGCGGCCACCGUCAUGCUUGGCCGUCCCCUGCUGGUGGAUGAGGAGUCCCUCACUCGUCCGGGGCCAGUCCGUAUGCGUUUCGCAUGCCGCACCCCCCGCAAGCUGCGUGGUCUGGUCCAGAUCUGGUUCAAUGGCGAGGGCUUCAACAUCACCAUCGAGCCCGAACUUCCCCCGGAGCAACUCACAGCACCUGCCCUGCCUUCUCCACACCCGCCUUCUCCAACUGACCAAGACAGGGGUGGGGAGGGGCCCGACGGCAAUCUGGGCAGCGACAAGGAGGCGGAUGCAAGCAUGGAGGAUGAUUCCAUCGAUACAACGGCUUGGGAGAAGCUGGGCAUCUCUGACAAGGGCGGGGCGACAACCAGGGCGUCGAUGCCUCCGAUGGAGCCGCCGCUGGCAGGGGGGUCUAUGGAGCUGGAUCUCCCCAUCCCCAACCAGUAUGGCUCCAACCUGGGCUCGGUCACGUCCCCCCCGGUGCGGGCGGUGGCGGAGCCUGGUGCGGGCCAGAUGGUGGAACCGCUGGGGGAGGCGCGCACUCCUAUUGCGGUGUCCAUGGAGUCGCAGCCGCUUGCCUCACGCUCUCCAUCCCAAGGGGGGCGCAGCUCCAACAAGCUCGGGGCGGUGAAGCAGCUCAAGAAGGUGGCUGUGCGCAAGGUUAGCGCGGAGGCCGUUCGUGUGGCGGAGCUCCAGGGUGCGCCGGUGACCCCCCGGCAGGCGGUGAUGGCGCUGGCUAUGCCCACCUCCGCUCCGACCGCGCUGGAGGCGGACAAGACGGUGCCUGUCCCGAAGGCCAAGCGUACCAAGACCGUCGUGGACGGGCAGGUAGCUCAUGUGCGGGUCAGCGCGCGGGCUAAGGGCGCUAAAGGAAACAUGCCUUCGCUCCAACGCGCCCAACUCCUCCAAGCACAGAAGAACCUGGAAACCUCAGGUAAUCCAUUGCCCCGUUUCUCGAUUCUGGAUUGUUUCUCGGACGAGCACCUAGGCGAGGUGUUGGUGGAGAGUGGAGUUGAACCAAUCGGGGAGGGCGGGGUUAGCGAGCUAAUCUCGCUGGUGCGCGCUAAGGAACUGGCUCAGGCCGCACUCGCAGCGGCGGCUGCUCAACACGCGGAGCAUAUGGCUGUCGAGGAGGAUCCCUCGACGUCGCUAAGUCUCCGGCCCAAAGGGGAGACAGCAACAGGGUUUGCUGCUCCUCCCUCGUCUCGCUGCGGCAAGGCGAGGCGCGUGGCCAAGGCGAUCACCUCUAGGGGGAUCCGCCUGCGAAACCGCGUCAUCUAGAUGCGGAUGCUCAUUUGGAACAUCCGUGGCUUCGGCCACUCGGGGCGGCGCACCCAACUCCGCGACUACAUCAGGAAAGAAGGGAUUGAUAUAGUAGGGCUCCAGGAAACCAUUAAAACUGAUUUUCGUCACCAAGACCUCGUAGCCAUAGACCCUUUGGAGCGUUUCAUUUGGCAACAUAGCCCGGCUAUUGGGCAUUCGGGUGGCAUGCUGCUUGGCUUUUGCAGUGCCAUAUAUGAGGUGCUGUCCUGGGAGGUAGGCACCUCCUUCACUGCAGCCAAUAUUCACGUGAGAGCUUCGCUACGCGAGCUCGUGAUCCUGCAAGUCUAUGGACCAGCAGAUCACUCACGUUCGGCAGAGUUUCUGGGAGAACUCGAAGCCAAGGUGCUGGCAGUUGCCGCAUCCCAGGUCCCGCUCCUAGUGGGUGGUGAUUUUAACCUCAUCCGAUCGAACGCGGACAAAAACAAUGACAACAUCAACUGGUCAAGGGUGACCAUGUUCAACAGCGCAAUUGCGUCAAUGUCACUUAGGGAAGUGGCAAGAACGGGGGCAAGAUACACUUGGACCAACAAACAACUAGCCCCGGUGAGAUCCGUCUUGGAUCGCGCCUUCAUGUCUCCGGAAUGGGAAGUGGUGUUCCCAUUAUGCUCGCUCCUUGCUGAAACAAGGAUCGGCUCGGACCAUGUUCCACUCAUCCUAUCUUCAGGGGAAGAUAAGGUACGUCGCAGCCCGCGUUUCUUUUUCGAAACAGCAUGGUUCGAGGCUCCUGAUUUCGACAACAUCUUUCGGGAAAGAUGGUUGAGAAGUGUUCAAGCCACGGGCCAGCAGCGCGGCCCUAUGGAGUUUUGGAUAGCGGUGGGGGGACGCUUGCGUGCAAGCCUCAAGGGAUGGGGCGCGAAUCAGGGACGAGACGAGAAAGUUUUGAGGGCGAAACUUCUCGAUGAGAUCGCAACCCUCGACACUCAAGCAGACUCGCGUCCAUUCUCGGAGCAUGAAUGGGCGCAUCGAUACGCCUUGGAAGGGCAAGUCGAGGAGUUGCUCCGAUCCGAGGAGGAAUACUGGAGGCGCCGAGGAGGACUUAAGUGGAUGCUCAAGGGAGAUGCGAACACUGGCUACUUCCACGCGUACGCGAAUGGACGUCGCAGGAAAUGCCUAAUCCUGAGGCUGCAGACGGAGCAGGGGCUCCUUCUCCAGCAACCAGCGAUUAGCAAACACAUCUACGACUUUUACAUAAGCCUGAUGGGGACCGACGAGCCUCAGCGCGCCAGGCUGAGAGAGGACGCCUGGCUGCCAGCUCAAAAGGUCUUGGAGUCGGAGAACGAAGAGCUGGGGCUCGCGUUUCUCCCCAAGGAGAUUGACGAGGCUCUCCAAAGCAUGAAAACUGACACGGCACCGGGGCCUGAUGGGUGGCCGGUGGCGAUGUUUAAACACUUUUGGCCACUGUUGCGCGAACCCAUCUUCGCGUUGUGCAAUGGCUUCAUGCGCGGUUUUGUGGACAUUGCUAGGUUAAACUUCGGAGUGCUCUCCCUAAUUCCGAAAGUACCGGGUGCGGAUAAUAUCCGCCAGUACAGACCAAUAGCGCUCAUUAAUGUGCCCUUCAAAAUUUGCGCCAAGGGUUGUGCCACGCGGUUUACUCCGAUCGCACACCGCACAAUCAGCCGUUCCCAAUCUGCCUUUAUUCGCGGUAGGAACAUUUUGGAGGGACCAUUAGCGUUGCAAGAGACCCUCCACGAACUUAGGCGCACGCGCGAACCGGCGAUUUUACUUAAAUUAGACUUCGAAAAAGCUUACGACCGCGUCAACUGGGAUUUCCUCAAACAAAUCCUAUUGACCCGAGGCUUUUCGCCGGUGUGGGUGCACAGAAUCAUGCAGUUGGUCUCGGGGGGCCAAACUGCGGUCUCGGUGAACGGAGAGGUAGGGCACUUCUUCCGGAACAAGCGCGGCCUUCGCCAGGGUGAUCCCAUUUCACCGCUCUUGUUCAACUUCGUGGCAGAUGCACUGGCGACCUUGCUCCGGAAAGCAACGGAAGCAGGCCACAUCAAAGGGGUGUUGGGGCACCUCAUCCCAGGGGGGAUAUCGCACCUGCAAUACGCUGACGACACGCUACUGCUGUUCCAACCGGACCUGCACAGCGUGGCCAUGAUCAAAGCCCUGUUGAUUAGCUUUGAGCUUAUGUCGGGGCUCAAGAUCAACUUCCACAAAUGCGAAGUGAUGCCCAUGGGACUCGAGCCGUCCGACAGUAGGCGUAUCGCAGACCAGCUCAAUUGCAAACUCGGCAAACUCCCGUUUACUUACCUUGGGCUCCCGUUGGAUGCCAAACGCAUCACGAUAGAUGGCUGGGCGCCACUCUGGACCAAGGUGGGUGGGCGGGUUUGUCCGUGGAGGGGGAAGUUCCUCUCUUCUGCAGCCCGGCUAGUGCUCACAAACGCGAGCCUGUCCUCGCUGCCGCAGUUUGCAAUGGGGUUGUUCCUCUUGGCUGAAGGGGUACACGCCAAGAUGGACACUCCAAGGUCCCGUUUCUUUUGGGAAGGUGCGGGACCCAAACGCAAGUACCAUAUGGUCAGAUGGGACUUGGUGUGCAGACCCAAGGACCUAGGGGGGCUAGGGAUCACAAACACACGGAUCCUCAACAUUGCACUCAUGUGCAAAUGGAUCUGGAAGCUGUCGCAGGGGGCGACCGGUCUGUGGGUGGACAUGCUGCGCAAUAAAUAUUUCCCCAACGGGAACUUUUUCGAAGGCAGGACGCGGGGCUCUCCUUUCUGGAACGACCUCCAAGCGGUGCGCCCGGCCUUCGCCCUUGGCGCCAAGUUCGUCGUAGGGGACGGGCGCUCGGCCCGCUUCUGGCUUGACCUAUGGUUGGGAGCGAACCCCCUUUGGGUCCAAUUUCAGGACUUGUAUGCCCUGGCGGUCAACCCGGAGAUGACGGUAGCGACGGCCCUAGCCUCGAACCCACCCGCGAUCCACUUUCGUCGAGAGCUAACGGGCCUUAAACAAGCACGCUUUGAGGAGCUGCUGGGCCUGACUCAAUCGGCGACGCUGUCCACUUCCGCGGACACGGUCACUUGGGCUCUCACCACGUCCGGAAAGUUCACGGUCAAAUCCCUCUACCGCAGGCUCUGCCAAGUUCAGGGACCGGCAUUCCCAAUGCCGACCGGUUUGUGGAACGCCCGUAUUCCGCUUAAAGUCAAGGUGUUCUUCUGGCAACUUUUCCACAAUAGACUCCCCACUUCGGCCAAUGUUGCAAAGCGCAACGGCCCGUCUUCCGGCUUAUGUGCCAUUUGUAAUACCAUGGAAGAUGCGAACCAUGUGUUUUUCCGCUGCCCCCUAGCGCGCUUUGCCUGGAGCGCAGUCCGAGCUGCCACCAAUACCAAUUGGGACCCGCGAUCGGCCGCUGACCUAGCGGCCAUAGUUGCGUCGACGAUGGGUGGCAGUAAACGUGUCCUUUGGAGUUGCCUCGGUGCCCUAGCCUGGGCAAUGUGGCUUACAAGGAACAAAAUUGCCAUCGAGGGAAUCUUCCCAUCACACCCUGCUAAUAUUCUUUACAAAUGCAACAUUCUUAUGCAGCAGUGGAGUCCGUUGGCGAAGCACAAGGAUGCUGACAAGAUGAAGCAAGCUCAAGAUCGUCUUCGCCAAGUCUACGUUUUGGCCAGGGAGCCGCCAGCCGCUUCUACGUCGUGAAGUGGUUUCUUUUGUCUUGCGAGCGAGCCUGCGUGCUCUAUGCUCUUUGGUCUUUGGCCUGUAAUAGACUCGCUUUGCUUACUUUUGGCCUCUGGCCUGCCUGCGACCUUGCUGUGCUCUCGCGCCAGCGUAACCUGAGCCUCCGCGCUCGUGACCUUGCUGUGCUUCGUGCCAGCGGAACCCGAGCCUCCGCGCUCGUGACCUUGCUGUGCUUCGUGCCAGCGGAACCCGAGCCUCCGCGCUCGUGACGUUUGUCCUAGUCCUCGUCUGUAAACGCUGCCUAAGUUUGUGGGCUUUAUUAAGUUAAAGCCGGACGCUCCUAACGUCUCCGUUCUAAAAAAAAAAUAGAUACUACUCCCUCUGUAAUUGCGUUACCUUUGUUUAUUUUGGAUCAACUCUAUAGAAAAAUGUGCAAAUCUACAACACCAAUUGCAUCGAUUUUGAUCAAUUUCGUAGAAAAAUGAGCGUAGCUUAGAUGGUUAGGUUCCUUGUGAUGGAACCAGUCCACCAAGGUUCAAGUCGUUUCUCGAUUUAUUUUAGUGAGAGGGAUGUUCCGAUCGGCUAUGAAGAUACAUGUGGUGACUUCGUCGAUCUUAAAAUGUUGUGCUGCCUCGGUCACUAGAAGGUGCUCAUAGGGGCUGUAUGGGCAUCUACGUUGUACUGUGUUUAAAAAAGUUCGUAAUUUUUUAUACAUAGUAUGAAAAUGUAUUUCAUAAAGAAUCUCACGAGACUACUUUGACGAUUUAGGUGCUAGUAUUUUUGUAGACUUGAUCAAACUUAAAACAAAUUUUACCUGAGACAAACCAUUAACUACAAUUAUUUUGGAUAGAGAUACCUGUUGUUUACAGAGAUUUAUAAUAAUCUCUGAAAAAAUGGUUGGAAACAUGUGGAACGGCUCAACCCAUUUUCCAGUUAAUUUAGCAAUUCACAUUUCCUCCUCAGCUCGGUCAUUUCUCACGCCUAUAAAACCUCAGCAAAAAUGCUAGACGUACGGGAAGAUUUUACAAGAGUUAACGGACUAACCCUCUCCCCUCACUAAUCUCCCCCUCCUGAUUUUCAGGAUGGGGCCCGCUUCAUCUUAACAAUCAAUCAACACAUCCCACCUAAGCCUAGCCUGUAAAGCUCCUGUAAAACCCCUGUAGAUGUAGCAUUGCUGAAACCUCAGCAACCCAGAGCAAACCCUCCAGUGCAACAACCCCUCCCAAGUCCCAAAAGCGGAAAAGCCACGAUGACCAGGCCUCACACUGGCAGUGAGCCACCACUGGUGAUGCAUCUGCUGCUCUGUUGCACGUUUCUCCUGGCCUUCGCUGCUCCGGCGACCACCGCAGCCUCCGCCCCCGCCCCGGCUCCGACCCCGGCGAAGCAGACCAUGACGUGGGACGUGGAGUACAUCAUGUGGGCGCCGGACUGCCAGCAGCGGGUGAUGAUCGGGAUCAACGGCAAGUUCCCCGGGCCCAACAUCACCGCCCGCGCCGGCGAGACCCUCAGCAUCACCGUCAACAACAAGCUGCACACGGAGGGCCUCGUCAUCCACUGGCACGGGAUGCGGCAGGUGGGCACGCCGUGGGCGGACGGGACGGCGUCCAUCUCGCAGUGCGCCGUCAGCCCGGGGGACUCGUUCACCUACGAGUUCGUCGCCGACAAGGUAGGCAACGAACGAACGUCGCAACCGAACAAAACCCCGUACCCGGAAUGGCCGGGCACGUGAGGAAGGCCCAAGGAACUGAACCAAAUUUGUUUUCUGGUGCAGCCGGGGACCUACUUCUACCACGGGCACUUCGGGAUGCAGCGGGCGGCGGGGCUGUACGGGUGGCUCGUCGUGGACGCCACGGCGGAGCGGGGCGAGCCGUACCGGCGGGACUACGACGGCGGCGAGCUCCGCAUGCUGCUCAGCGACUGGUACCACGACAACGUGUACGCGCAGGCGGCCGGGCUGGAGCAGAAGUACGAUCACUUCCAGUGGGUCGGCGAGCCCCAGACGAUCCUCGUCAACGGGCGAGGGCAGUACGACUGCAUGCUCGGCGCGGUCACGAGGUUCCACCGGGGCAUCGACCGGCGCGCCAGGACCUGCGUGCGGGGCAAGGAGGCCAAGCUGUGCGGCGACGAGGAGAGGUGCCUCCGGCGCAGCGAGUGCGGGCCCUACUGCCCGGAGAGCCAGUGCGCCCCCGUGGUGCUCGACGUGGAGCCCGGCAGGACGUACCGGCUCCGGAUCGCCAGCACCACCUCCCUCGCCGCCCUCAACGUGCAGGUCCAAGGGGUGAGUAAGAAAGAAGACGCAUUUCCUCUCCACUCUUCAGUAGGUGGUAGUAGUAACGUAACGUCGGUUGACACGGCGGUGGUGGUGAUUUUGUAGCACGAGCUGACGGUGGUGGAGGCCGACGGCAACCCCGUGGAGCCGUUCACCGUCGCCGACAUCGACAUCUACUCCGGCGAGAGCUACUCCGUGCUCCUCACCACCAACCACACGCCGACGUUCUACAGGUCGGGGUCCUUCUGGGUCUCCGUCGGCGUGAGAGGACGGCCUCCCAAGACGCUGCCGGCCACCGCCGUCCUAAGGUACACCAACAGCAGGUUCCCGUGGCCGGGCAGCCCGCCGCCGGCGACUCCGGCGUGGUACGAUCUGCAGCGCAGCAAGGACUUCGCCCGCAGGAUCAAGGCCCGGAGGAACGCCGCCGAGGCGCCGCCGCCGCCGCGGACGGAGCAGGUGAGCCGGAGGAUCGUGAUGCUCAACACGCAGACCCUGGUAGACGGGCACAUCAAGUGGGCCGUCAACAACGUGUCCCUGACGCUCCCGACCACCCCGUACCUCGGCGCCUACUUCUACGGCGUGCAGGGCAGCGCCUUCGACGCCUCCGGCGAGGCGCCCAACGGGUUCCCCGGCGGCUACGACAUCGACCUGCCGCCGGAGAACAACAGCUACGAGGCCACGCUCAGCGACCGGGUGUACGAGCUGGCGCACGGCGCCGUGGUGGACGUGGUGCUCCAGAACGCGGACAUGCGGAGGGACAACGACAGCGAGACGCACCCGUGGCACCUGCACGGCCACGACUUCUGGGUGCUGGGGUACGGCGAGGGGCGGUACACCGGCGGCGAGCGCCUCAACACGGAGGACCCGCCGCUGCGGAACACGGUGGUGGUGUUCCCGCACGGGUGGACGGCGAUCCGGUUCGUCGCCGACAACGUGGGCGCGUGGGCGUUCCACUGCCACAUCGAGCCGCACCUCCACAUGGGCAUGGGCGCCGUCUUCGUCGAAGGGGCCCACAUGAUACGCGAGCUGGACGUGCCCAGAGAGGCAAUGAUGUGCGGGGUGAUCAGGACGACGGUCGCAGCCCUGACUCCCGCUAAGCCGGGCUCGCCGGCGCCGGCGCCGUGACGGCCAUCGGCUCAUGGAUAAGCUCCUCCUCGCAUGCCUGUACCAGUAUAUCCGUGGUCACUUGUGAAUGCGCGGUGCAAAACAAAGGCUUUCCAGUCAGAACUCUAGCGUGUUUUCACUGCAUUCUCAGUGAAUAAAGUUUUAUAUUGAUAAAGAAAAAAGUCUGCUUUCUGAUAAACGUCGUCUUGUAUAUAAUGAAAAGAUAAUUGUUUUGAAAUUUUCUUAGUCCUCCGCCAUCAGGGUACUAUCGAAUGAAAUCAUUCCACCAACGAGAAAUUUAUGCACCAAGAAAUAUCCAGCGAACUGCGUGUAAUAUGACAUGAAACAAAUGGAACAGGCAUGGUCAAUCAAGAUCCGAAACAGUACAGGAGCACUCAGUAUUUUUAGAAUUACACAAGACAUGCUAAUCUGCGACGAGUAUCAAAUUCUCUCUUCAACAUCCGUGAACAUCCGGUGGUUCUUACUCCUACCAGGCUACACAUAUUCUACCAAAACCAUGGAAUCCCAUCUCAAACCCCAGUUUCCAGCACCAUGUAUGAUAUUGCACGAAAACCUUGUCCGGGAGAUGCUCUAGAAGCAGACAGGAAACUUAUCUUGAUAGUUGCUACAUCAGUCGAUCUUCACAGAAGCGUAGAUCUUCCUCACAAACCAGAAGCAAGCAUAGAAGCCGAUGGUGCCAGUCAGGACGAAGAAGGCAUAAGAAAUGAUCAGCAUGUAACCAAAGUAGAGAAUGCCUGAAACAAGCUUCGUGAUCUCCAACUUGUUGAAGAAGUAGAAGAUAGCAUAAGCAAAAAGAUAUAGAGCUGAAGAGCCUGCGGUCAGGUAUGCCCUCCACCACCAGUGGUAGUCCUCACUGCAUAGCUGGAAGUAGCAGAGCACAAUUGUGAUCUCAGCACAGGUUACCAGGAGAAUGACGAAGACUAUGAAGAGGAAGCCAAAGAUGUAGUAGAACUGGUUCAGCCAGAUAGAUGUGAGGAUGAAGAAGAGCUCAAUGAAGACAGCACCAAAUGGCAAUAUGCCACCAGCAAGUAUCGAGAAAGCUGGCUGCAGGUACCAUGCUUGCUCGGGAAUUUGUCUGGGAAUCUUGUUUGUCUUGACUGGGUCCUCAAUUGCUGGCUGCUUGAAUCCCAAGAAACUUCCAACAAAGACCAGUGGCACGGAGAUGCCAAACCAGAGAAGGACCAGAGCAAACAUUGUCCCAAAAGGAACUGCACCAGAUGAUUUCUCACCCCAGAUAAGGGCAUUCAGGACGAAAAAGACCCCAAAGAUUAUACCAGGAAACAUGAAGGCAGUUUUGAGGGUGAUCUUCUUCCACUCGGUGCCCUUGAACAUCUUGUAGAGGCGAGACGACGUGUAACCCGCCAAUACACCCAUGAAAACCCACAGAAGGACCAUAGCAGUCAUGAGUCCUCCACGGUUUGCAGGGGAUAAGAAUCCAAGUAGCGCAAACAUCAUGGUUACCACUGUCAUGCCAAAGAACUGCACACCAGUUCCAACAUAAACGCAAAGAAGACCUGAAUGAACAGGAGGCCUGAAGGCAUCACCAUGCACUAACUUCCAUCCAGUUUCUUCUUGGGCCUCCUCCUGAUUGUCAAGCUGAUUAUAGUUUGCUAUGUCCUUGUAAAGGGUCCUCAUCAUAAUCAUGGCUAUCAUGCCAGAAAGGAAAAGAACAAUCAUCAAGGAGUUAAUGAUCGAGAACCAGUGGAUUUGGCUGUCACUGGAAAGAAGGUAGACAUCCCAGCGAGAUGCCCAUAUGAUCUCACUAGACUGCAGAAGAUCAAUUGUGAAUUAAUCAGCACGGCAGGAACAUGAAUGCCAGCAACAAAGGAUAUGAAAAAGGUAAUAUACCUCAAAGGUAACGUCGUAAGAGAAUACAACAUAUGCAUCAGGAGCCACCUCUUGAGGUGUGUGACUACCAGGAGUUAUCUUCGUGUUAGCGUUGCAAGUUUGUACUGUAGGAUUCUUGUCAUCCCAGGCACCAUAUUCAUGUUUAAUGCUGUAUGAAGGUAGACAGUGAAUAGGCAAGUUAUGAUAGGCACAUGUAUCUUCACAUAAGAUAUAAAUUUAUAAAAAGCCAAGCACUAAUUUCUACUCCCUCCAUCCCAAAAUAAGUGUCUCAAGCUUAGUACAACUUUGUACUAGUGUUAGAGACACUUAUUUUGGGACGGAGGGAUUGCUAAAUAUUGGCUAUGUUGAACAUUUACUAUAGAGAUUAAACUAUUUAUGAAAUGAUCAAAAACAUUAGAUGGACAUGAAUUUCAAUUGGUGUUCGGACUGGGCAGCUACGCAUACCCAUAACAAAACAAGAUCAAUUCGACCAUGAGGCAUGACUAAGUAUACAUAACAUACCUGCUAGGAAUCACAUGGAAGCCAACAAUACGAGCCUCUGGGGAGUUUAGGUCUUCAUGGUACAAGACUUUAAAGCUCAAGUGAUUGUUAAUAUAGUACUUGUCAUCCUUGAGCUGCCAAUAUUGUGCUCAAAUUAAACAAGUUCCUUGAUAAAUGUUUCAUGUUUCAAUGAGUAGCAAUCGACUUGGUGAGAUGCUCACCUUAUAGCCAACGCGGUAACCAUGAUCAAAGAUCGGUUGGCUCCCUUCCCGUGUCUGCCUAGGGACCACAACUGGGAGAUUAUCCAAAAUCCUGAUAGAAGGAAAGUAGAUUGUCAGGCACUGUAUUAUAUAUAGCUUAUGCGGAACAUAAACCACAAUUCUACAACUUGGACCAGUAUCAUAUGUAAGCCGGCUAGACAGUCAUGUUAAUCUUUUUUUGGCGGGGAAUGGUCAUGUUAAUCAACUGGCAAUACAACAAGAACUUCAAAAUCAGAACAUACAUGUUCACUCGAUAUUCAUCAUCGAUCUUCUCUCUGAAAUUCUUUGCAGCCUCUGCAGACAGCUUUGUUCGACAAACAACUUUGCAACUCCCAUCCCUCCUCAUCUUGAACUGCAAGAGUUGGGAAAGUGAACUUAAGUUAAUGAGUGCACAACUUAUCAUAUUAUGUUGUCGUGCUCUCUACACCCUUGAACAAACGGGCAAAAACCAUUUGUAGAGUAUUUAAUGCAAGAUACACUGGUAGUAUACUUACAUUAUAGACAGAGUUUUCAAUUCGGUCCCCACGAAGGACUUCCCCUAAGUUCUCAGCACUGUUCUUAAUCGCCUCAGGUUUGCAGUAGUCCAGGAAAUAAUAGUCAUAUGGAAGUUGUGUCUUUAUAGAUGACAGCUUGUUGACCUUCACCUGGAGAUCAUCAUCCUGCAAUAUGAACGGUUAGUCAACCUUUGAAAACCAUUGAGCAAACAGAGAAUAUACACAGGAAACAAUGGAUAAAACUUCCAAACAAUCAUAUCUAUAUACCUAAAUAGUUGAUCCCCACUAACUCAAUUAUCCUAACCUGCAACUAUGCCAACUCAUCAUGCCAUCAUGCAUACACCACUAAAUUUAAUUCUCUCGAUAUGCAACUAUGCCAAUUCACCAUGUCACCAUGCAUGCUACUCAUUCUCAAUAAAUAUUUUACAACUAUAUAAUAACCAGAUAUUGUAAAUUGUAUGUACUAUUAUUUCAAUUCUCAUAUUGCUAAUCAAAAUACUGAAGUUUCAUACUGCCAAAUCUCAUAGAAAUAACUGCAUCUAAUUCCCACAGCAACACGCGGGGUAUCAUCUCUAGUUUAGAAGUUUGGUUAUACAACUGUAAUUGCCAUAAUAAUUGAAUGGUAUGGUAAGUUGGUAACUGUCUCUCCAAAGAAAUGACAGUCACCAAUGCAACACAACAACUGGAGCUCCAUAAACAAGAGGACUCCAACAACUUGUAAAUGAUGAAAUCAAUUAACACGUCAAUUUAAUGGCACCGGAGAACAGCAUGCAAGUGUUAACAGGUGUUAAUUAAGUUAUACAGAGUGUAUCCUGUUUUCCUGAUCUCCUGAAAUUGUAAAUGUGUUAGGAGGCAACAAGAAACAACAACCAUGCACUUGUCUAUAAGGUGUGGCUUCUUCAAGUAGAUCGCGAAGCACAUAGGCAACACAUAUAGGCUUCAACAUAAACGUUACUAUUGCAGAAUAUACUUCUACACAUUUGAUUCUCAUCAGAAUAUCAUUCAAACAAGAGAACCAAAUGAGCUUAAAAUAGGUAAGGAGACUAUUUGUCUAUAUCAAACUAUAUUAUGAUGGUAUAACGGAAAGGUACCUCAGGAUAUGCAUGGUGUUUUUAGAUGAUGUGGACAUUCUAAUACAACAACUCUAGUACAUCUACAAGCAUACUACAUAAGGUAUGUUGCCGUUUCAAACAUUUUAAUUGAAGAAUGGUCUGCCUGUUGUCGUUUGCAGCCAUCAUAUGAAGAUAUUAGGCCCUAGCAAGUUAGACGAAGACAACACUUCAGUUCAUGCCACUUUCACAAGGUUUUGGUUGCAGUGUUGCAAUCUCCAUGAAACCCACCAACAUACACAACAAUAGGUACCUAACUGAAUUUUCUACCCAAAUCGCCCAAAUAGUGUACUACCCAGUAAAUACAUGUUCUCCAACAGUACAAAGGAUACUAAAUUAAACAGCGAUGAAAACAAGAGACGAAGCGAUAACGUGUCUACACCUCUAGAUGAACUCAAACAAGCAGAAACCAAAAAUCCCCUGCUUAUCAACACUUUCUGAAGUGUGACCUGCACCCAUCCCACAAUAAUACCUACGCACUGCACCAAGACACAGUUAACCACAUCGACGAAUCUCACUAUACCGUGCAAUACCAUCGCGAUUCAUGCUAAGGAGAGCUAAAAACAACAUCAGGAGUCGGCCAAUGGAACGAGGAGCCUAACCCCGACGCACCAUGCUCGACAAAAUUAACCGCACGCAAUCAAGGCCAAGCGGGCACUGCCACGUACAGCUUUCACCCUACCCGCAGGUACGCCCAGAACGCACACGCAAGCCAGCAUAAAAUCCAGACAUUCGGCUCUCCACCUCCAUUGCUCAGGUCACAAAACCCUGAACCACAGACGCACCCCCUACCAAUAAUCCUCCAAAUGCGUGGAGACCUUCCGAACCCGGGGAAACGAGGCCUGGCGAGCCAGAUCUGAGGCCGCGCCUCCCGGUACGGCUAGAUCCACCGGCGCGGGCGGCCGGGAGGCCNNNNNNNNNNNNNNNNNNNNNNNNNNNNNNNNNNNNNNNNNNNNNNNNNNNNNNNNNNNNNNNNNNNNNNNNNNNNNNNNNNNNNNNNNNNNNNNNNNNNNNNNNNNNNNNNNNNNNNNNNNNNNNNNNNNNNNNNNNNNNNNNNNNNNNNNNNNNNNNNNNNNNNNNNNNNNNNNNNNNNNNNNNNNNNNNNNNNNNNNNNNNNNNNNNNNNNNNNNNNNNNNNNNNNNNNNNNNNNNNNNNNNNNNNNNNNNNNNNNNNNNNNNNNNNNNNNNNNNNNNNNNNNNNNNNNNNNNNNNNNNNNNNNNNNNNNNNNNNNNNNNNNNNNNNNNNNNNNNNNNNNNNNNNNNNNNNNNNNNNNNNNNNNNNNNNNNNNNNNNNNNNNNNNNNNNNNNNNNNNNNNNNNNNNNNNNNNNNNNNNNNNNNNNNNNNNNNNNNNNNNNNNNNNNNNNNNCGGGGGGCGACGCCGGGGAGGUAGAAGGCGCGGGCGGGGGUGGAGACGAGGCACACGGCGGCGGCGACGAGGAAGAGGGGGAGGAGCAGGAGGCGGCCGCGCGGGCCGCCGGCGAUCGCCAUGUCGGGUGAGGCGAGGCGGGGGAGAAGCGGGGCAGUAGUGUGCGUGCCGAGAAGAGAAAAUGGGGGUGGUGCCUGCCCUGGUGGUGGGGAAGUCCCGAGCUACGACGGCCUACGGAAGGGUGCAAGUGCAAUGAGCCGAUAAACGGCCGUGAUUCGUCGACAUAAUGAAAGGAAAUGGAUUACGUAUGUGUCGUGCGGAACAAAAUUCAAAAUGGAAACCCCACCGACAGGGGAGCCGUCUUAUUCCGACCUGCACUGGAUGGUUCCCGUCAACCUCAUAUCACUUUCAUCAUUUUGGAGUCACCAGAAAGAAAAAUUUAGGUGCAUUUGUUGAAAAACACUUUACCUCAAAGACUUUUUUUUAUUUUGUAGUAUCUCUGUAAACUAAUAUAUGAGCAUUUAGAUCACUAAGUUUAUGCAGGGAGUAUGUAUUUUCUACUCGUACGUAUUAGAUGGCACUUUACCUUCUUCAACAGUUCUCUUGACAACAUGACAUACUUCCUCCGUCUGAAUUAAUUUGUCACUGAAACGAGUGUCUCCAAUUCUUUGUUAUAUUAUUUCUUCCUGCACUUCCAACUUCGUAAGUUGACAAUGCCGACCAUGCUCGUGAUCCACCGACACAGGCGCCGGUAAUAGUUUAUUACAUGUCCAAGAUCAACGGUAACCAAAUUUUUAAUUUCGAUUUGCUUAUGGCUCAGCCUCUCAGGAGCCGCCCAUUAGGCAGUCAUAAGUGACUGGUCCCCCCAUUUUCUUUCACUUCAAAAUUCCACAUAUAACACUCGGUAGAAAGAAUCUAUCGUACAGCUACAAAACCAAAUACUCUAAAAUGUUAACAGAAAGGCACUAAUGAAAUUUAAGUAUAUCCCAGUACCAAACCAAGUUUGAACAACCGUUCAAAAGCGAUCAUUCAAAGUCACCGAAACGAUCAACAUUAAAAAGACGAGGCAAACCAAAAUGACUACACUACGCUUUCUCUACGCUUGGUUCGGCGCAACUUGCAACCCCUGGUAAAAUAGUCUCCACUGCAACUUUCUCAUGCACACGGCAACAAAUUACUGUGCGUUUCAAGUUUCAGAAAAGUAAAGAAGACAGCCCGGUGCAUGUAGCUCCGGCUUGGGCAUGUUUCUACAGGAAGGGUCCAUUCCCUACAUUUCUAUCUAAGAGGCUGUUUUCAGGACUUAACCCAUGACAUGGUCACAAGGCAGCAGAUUUACCACUGCGCCAAGGCUCCCCUUCCCAGAAAAGUAAAUUAGUACCAAGAGAAAAUAAUUACAGCCUAGAGGUUACAGACAGAACCCAUGUAGUUGACGAUGUACACCAGCACGUGCAGUCCAGCACAGUUUAUUGCCCCAUCUUUAUUCAUACACAAAAGUAGAUACAACCAGCGUGUUCGAGCAUCUUGGCCUAGAAUGCUCUUGCUAACAGUUCCGGUAAGUGAAACCAAAAAAGAGCUCAUGUGCGUUGGUUCAACAUUCAACAAUACAGGAGAUAAUAUUACACAAGACAAUAAUAUUACAGAAGACGCCGUGACCCAAGAAAUCUACAGAUAACAUAUGCUCGCUGACUCAAAGAAUGGGAUCUGACUAUAUAAUUACUACAGCAAAAAGGCCAGAAGUUUGAACUGCUCAAUUUAUUCAAUCUGCACUCGAGAAAACAUUGGAUCUCCCAACAAAGAUGAGAUCAG